CUUGAGGAGGACACGUCGCAGGGAGAGCACUCUCUGAAGGUGGUUUUGAGAGAGCUGUAGGAGGCCUCUCGGGGGGGACACGUAGCAAUGGGAUAUUCUCUCCUGCUGGUGACCAUUUUAGGCAGAGGAUUGUUAGAGAUGGUGAGAGUGAGGUGUUUCGGGGCAGAGGAGAGAGUGUUGGGAGGCAAGAAAAGUUGAAAGAGAGUAGAGGAGGCUGGAAGGAAGUAAGGUAACAGAGAGCAAGGAGGACGGGAGGGAGAAGCAGAGAACUAGUGGGAGAUUUAUCUGGUCUUGAGGAGGAAACAAGGGAGUUCUCCUGGAAAAGGAGGUCUUCCAGCCCUUUGCAUCACUUCUUAUUGAGUAUCCCAAGCUGCUAGCUGGGUUGGCCAUCUUGGUUGGGAUGUUUCUGGGAGUUGCAACUCCAAUACCAUAUUCUGUGGAUCCCUAACUGCGACCUUGAUGUUUGAGCAUGAGGAAGGUCCGGUGGUCAAAGAGGUAUUUCUCAAUUUUGGGUUGCAUGGUGUCUCUGAAGAGCAGAUUUAUGAUAUUGCAAAGCAGAUUGGUGAUGCAAUCGGGAAAUUGCUGGCCUUAUUCUUGGUGGUCAAACCAUAUCAAGCAUGUUGGUAUCAAUCAACUGGUCCUUAUUGAUUUUGGAUUUAACUUCAUGUUAACCCUUCCAGAAGAUAAAGCUGAUGACUACUGUGCUUGAGUGGGGCUUGCGUAGUCUGGAGUGGGAAUGCUUACAGGAGCAGGCAAAGCAGAAAGAUGAGGAUGAGAAUGAGCAAUAACGGAUGCAGAUGGCAUUGAUUUAUUGGCAUGAUGUUGCUGUGGUUGAGAUAAUGGACCUUGCAGAUAAUAAAGAUGAGGACUUACUCCCUUCAAUGACUCAUUUGUCUUAGUUGAUGCACUUCUAGCUGAUCAAACUAAUUUGUUAGAGCAUCAUCCAGCAUUGUGCAUGGAAGUGGGUUGUGGAAGUGGUUAUGUCAUCACUUCUCUAGCCCUUUUUCUUAGCCAGGAGGCCUAAGGGGUCCAUUAUUUGGCAUUCGACAUCAACCCUCAUGCAGUGAGGGUGACCCAAGAGAUUCUGGAAGCACAUGGAGUUCAUGCAGAGUUGAUAAACACUAACGUAGCAUCAGGGCUGGAGAGGAGCCUGGCUGGAAGGAUGGGAUAAUUAAAACUGCAGGUGUAUUCUCUUUGGGCAGUCGGGAAGAUGUAGAAGUGAGAUUCCCAAAAAGCUCUGGAUGAAAUCCACCUCUGAAUACUUUGAAACCGAGAAGCAAGAUGUUAGAUACUGGCAAGCAUUCAGAAUUAUUUGCCAAGAGAUGCUGACGAAGAUAAGCAUUCUAUGAACCAAUGCAUGUUUGCAAAGGAGUCCACAGAGAAUUCGGGAACAGAAAUUUCUGAUAACAAGGACAAUGAAUGUUCAGGUUGAAAUAGAUUUUGUGAAGGUGAAGGCUACUACUGUCAACCUUAACAGCAUAGAAAAUGGGUUUCUAUGGGAUACUACUAGUGUUGGAUCUAAUGGACUGCUAACAGAAGAUGGGUUGCCCAAAGAAAGCAUUUCUGAGGCUGGUAAAAUGACACAUGGUGCUACUUCCUCCAGUAUGGUGAAUCAGCAAGUGCAAAAGCGUGCCAAUUCACCCAGAUUGCCACAAUCUAUUACAAGUAAAAGGUCCAAAGAAGAAUAGAUGCGUGGUUCACAAAGCCUCCGUCCUCAUGGCCACCUUAAUGCACGUAUGGCCGGUUCUUGCCCAUCUCCAGCUUUGGUAUCCUCAGCAUCGCAGAGUCUCCAUUUCUCUUGCUCCAUUGGGUUUCAGAAACAUCAUGCAACCACUGUAUGUGACAACCCCAGUUACACCAUCCAUGCCUUUUUCCUGCACCAGUCCUCUUCCAACUGAGUCACCUGGGUAGCCAGUAGCUCCUCCAGGACAGAAAGGUCUCUGCAUCAUCCAGAGUUUUACAGAGAAGCUUUCAUCUGAUUUCGAAAUGUUCUGAGGAAUCAAAGUAGUACCAUGCGAGGAACUAUUUUUAUGAAGGAUGCAGCAGAAACUUGAAAAUCUCUCUCGAAAAUUGGAAACCAGAUAUCAACAGGUAGUUCCAGCUGCCACUGCAUUUGUUUCUCUUGAUAACAAUCCAGAGGGCCUAAACAUCCCAGUUUCAUUUACAUUGGAAGACAGCUUGGUUUCUCCUUGUUCUGCCAAAAAAGAAACUAGAAAUAUAACUGAAUUGAAGAUUAGAAAGUGAACUUGAAUCUUUUAGCCGUUGAGUAAUACGAAAUAUUGAAAUCGAAAGAGGCUUUGAUCUGGCCUGUAGAGGAGAAUAUGGCUGCAGCCCCGAUCGUGUCAAUUAAGAUAGCGAUUGCUUAGAUGCUGAUAGUAGAAAAACAAAAGGUGAAUGGCAAGAAAGGCAAACAAAGGCCUGAGAGAGGAAUAAAACUAAUUCAUUGAUUCCAUCCCUUCACUGAUUGUACAGUAGCAACAUAUAUAGGAAGGCUUGGAACAAUCGAGAAGAGUUCAGCUCAUCCAGAAAAUGAAAAAUAACAAAAUAAAAAAUUCCACUAACUUGUAACAACCUAACAAACUCUGCAUAUUUCUUUGUUCAACAAGGAAGGCAAGUUUACGUCUA
Long non-coding RNA from Vitis riparia (riverbank grape), 2625 nucleotides. RefSeq lists it as uncharacterized. Lineage: Eukaryota; Viridiplantae; Streptophyta; Magnoliopsida; Vitales; Vitaceae. The record is from RefSeq and is a predicted model, not a curated record. The transcript has 2 exons.